UACGUAGGUCCCGAGCGUUGUCCGGAUUUAUUGAGCGUAAAGCGAGCGCAGGUGGUUUAUUAAGUCUGGUGUAAAAGGCAGUGGCUCAACCAUUGUAUGCAUUGGAAACUGGUGGACUUGAGUGCAGGAGAGGAGAGUGGAAUUCCAUGUGUAGCGGUGAAAUGCGUAGAUAUAUGGAGGAACACCGGUGGCGAAAGCGGCUCUCUGGCCUGUAACUGACACUGAGGCUCGAAAGCGUGGGGAGCAAACAGG
Molecule: ribosomal RNA, 252 nt
Filed under: uncultured bacterium
Lineage: Bacteria
Description: partial 16S ribosomal RNA
Rfam family: Bacterial small subunit ribosomal RNA
Source: RNAcentral